RNAcentral lists this ribosomal RNA (771 nucleotides) under Triticum aestivum (bread wheat). RNAcentral describes it as "partial small subunit ribosomal RNA". The record is from RNAcentral. Lineage: Eukaryota; Viridiplantae; Streptophyta; Magnoliopsida; Poales; Poaceae.
AUGGCAAGAAAUGAUUUCGGAUUUGGUUCUUUGAUCAUAGAUAUCAAGCUUGAUGGUUCAAACUACAGGGAAUGGGCAUUUUCUGCCCGGACUGUCUUGAGGACGGCUGGUUUUGUUUCUCAUCUGACAGAUGAUCCACCUAGUCCAAAUGAUGAUGCAGCAAGGAAGUCUUGGCAAAAGAUCGAUGAUCGUGUGAUGGGAGUUUUAAUUCUGGGUGUUGAACCCUCACUCCGAAUGAGUCUUGAGCAUCACACUUCAGCUAAAGAGAUAUGGAAGUACUUUGAGCAGCGCUACCUUCAGCCCAGCAGUGCACUUCAUUUCUCCUUGUUGCAGAAUUUACACAACACUCGGCAGCCAGAAGACAUGUCCAUAGAAGAGUACUAUGGAGCUUUCACUCGCAUCACUGGGCAGCUAGGUUCCAUGGUUCCAAAGGGUAAUUCUGGUUGUGAGUCAUGUGCAGCAAAGGAAAAGUAUGACCAUCAGACUCUCAUGUUUCAGUUUGUGAUGGGUCUCAAGCCAGACUUUGAGAACAUUCGCACUCAAUUGCUUGGUCGUACGACUCCUCCCACCUUGACAGAGGCACUUGCUAGCUUGAUCGCUGAGGAGACUCGUCUCCAUUCUCUUGGGGCUACUUCUGCGCAGACUCUACACACUAGUGUUCUGGCUUUUCCUCAGCGGCCAGGUGCCUACCUUCAACUGUCGUCUGCUCGUUCUGCAAGAAGGCAGGACACCACAGAGAUGGUUGUUUCAAGCUUCAUCCAGAGCUGUUAG